AAUCUUCUUACUCCAAAAACAA
Molecule: small nuclear RNA, 22 nt
Filed under: Arabidopsis thaliana (thale cress)
Lineage: Eukaryota; Viridiplantae; Streptophyta; Magnoliopsida; Brassicales; Brassicaceae
Description: snRNA_07079
Source: RNAcentral